RNAcentral lists this ribosomal RNA (1248 nucleotides) under Triticum aestivum (bread wheat). RNAcentral's name for it is "partial small subunit ribosomal RNA". Lineage: Eukaryota; Viridiplantae; Streptophyta; Magnoliopsida; Poales; Poaceae. The record is from RNAcentral.
AUGUCCAUCUCCACCGCUUCCCGCCGCGCCCUCAGCCGGAUCGGCGGCGCCCUCCGGCGGUCCUUGUCGUCGUCGUCGUCGUCGGUGCCGGACGCCUCGGGGUACCACGUGUCGGGCGGGCCGAGCUUCAUGCGCGCGGCCGUGUUCUGGGAGCCCGGCCGCCCGCUCACCAUGGAGGAGUUCCGCAUGCCGCGCCCCAAGGCCGGCGAGGUCCUCGUCAAGACCAAAGCUUGUGGAGUUUGCCACUCUGAUCUCCAUGUCAUGAAAGGCGAACUCCCUUUCGCCAGCCCUUGUGUCGUUGGCCAUGAGAUCACCGGGGAGGUUGUCGACCAUGGCGCGCACACGCCCGCUGAGAUCGUCAAUAGGUUUCCAGUUGGCAGUCAUGUUGUUGGAGCCUUCAUAAUGCCCUGUGGGAAUUGCUUUUACUGUGUGAAGGGCCAGGAAGACCUCUGUGAGUCUUUCUUUGCGUACAAUCGUGCUAAAGGAACACUAUAUGAUGGUGAAACCCGACUAUUUCUACGCAGCAACGGAAAACCAGUGUACAUGUACAGUAUGGGCGGGCUUGCGGAGUACUGUGUUGUGCCGGCCAAUGCAUUAGCAAUUCUUCCUAACUCGUUGCCGUACACAGAGUCAGCCAUUCUAGGAUGUGCUGUGUUCACCGCAUAUGGCGCUUUGAGGCAUGCUGCUGAAAUGCGUGCCGGUGAUUCAGUAGCAGUGAUUGGGGUUGGCGGGGUUGGAUCAAGCUGUUUACAGAUAGCAAGAGCCUUUGGAGCUUCCGAAGUCAUUGCGGUGGAUGUUCUCGAUGAGAAACUCCAGAAUGCAAAAACACUUGGAGCAACCCACACUGUAAACGCAGCUAAAGAAGACGCUGUUGAAAGGAUCAAGGAAAUCACUGGUGGGAGAGGUGUGGAUGUCGCUGUGGAGGCACUUGGCAAGGCAUUAACAUUUUCCCAGUGCACCCAAAGUGUACGAGAUGGAGGUAAAGCUGUUAUGAUCGGGCUUGCUGCAACAAACGUAGUAGGCGAGGUGGAUAUAACCCGUCUUGUUCGCCGACAGGUCAAAAUCAUUGGCUCGUAUGGUGCAAGAGCCAGGCAAGAUCUUCCUCAGAUAGUCAAGCUUGCUGAGAGCGGCGCCUUCAAUCUCGAGAACGCCAUAUCAAGGAAAUGCAAAUUCGAAGAGGCGAACGGCGCCUAUGAGGAUCUCAACCAGGGCAAGAUCGUUGGCCGAGCUGUAGUUGAAAUCAUGUAG